Long non-coding RNA from Microplitis demolitor, 550 nucleotides. RefSeq lists it as uncharacterized. The record is from RefSeq and is a predicted model, not a curated record. Lineage: Eukaryota; Metazoa; Arthropoda; Insecta; Hymenoptera; Braconidae. The transcript is spliced from 3 exons.
GAAGGUUAAAAACAUACUAGACUUUAACCGAUCGUGCGAGCCUAUAUCUAUACAGCGUAGUAUAUAUGUACUACUACAAUUUUUCGGAGACACAAGAGAAAGAAUCCAGCAAUGUAAUAAUUUUAAGAAUGAGGCAAUUCAUUAUAGGCGUGAAGGUUAUUAAUAUCUGUAUAACCUAUUUGAGGAGAAUAUAUAUAUUUAUUUAUUCCUGUUCGAUACCGUACAGAAUCAGCGCCAUGUAUUCAUACCGUACCUGGUUACAAGCGUACUUUUUACUUUUCUACUUUUAGUACUCUACCAACAUACAACUCUCUUAAAUAGAUUUCUAUGUGGAAAUAUCAAUAUUAAAUAUAUUUAUGUUGCAAAAUAAUUCUAUGUAAAAUUAUCAUUAUGUAAACUUAUUUUACUAAAUAUAAAUAUAUGCGAAAAUAAUUCAUGUCUAAAAUAUCUCUAUAUUAUAUAUAAUACUGGCUAAUAAUUCUUGAGCGGUAGCAUAGAAUCGGUAAAAAAAAAAAUAUCUCAAAAUAAAAAUGUAUAUGACUACUUUCAU